GUGUAUUUUUCUCCUUAGGUUGUAUUAGUUUUUGGUUUUAUAUUGUUAGAGUGAACAAUGGAAAUUAACAAGGCUACUGACGCUUCUGAUGAAAUGGGAAAUACACAAAUUGUAUAAAGGUGUAACCUUAAGUUACAAAUAUGUAAUGUAGAUACACGUUACAUCGUUAUGAUCAUCUAGAUAGAUAUGGAUCUCGAUCUGUGGCUUAAACCACAUAUGUUGGUAUAGUGGGUUCGUGGGGGCUUGUUGGUGGUUCUAUAAUGAAGGGAUGGCGUGGUUCACGUGAGCCCCUCACUCAGAUUGAAGCUGGAGCAAAAAAGAUGCAACAACCAUGCUUAAAUGUUUGUGGGUCUUUGAAUCUAUGUGCUUGAGUGCCAAUGGAGAAGCAUAGGUUACAAUAGAAGAAGUAAACUAAAUUACAAAGGAGCGGUAAAAGAGCAAUCAAGGUACAAGUUUUAGAGAGAGUCUUAUAUCCGAAGUGUGUUUUAGCUUCUGUAUGCCUUGGUAUUUAUAGGCAGGCAAAGGCAUUUCCUUGUUCUUAGACGGACCCGUAACUUUUCCAGGAAGGGAAGUGUGGCAGAGUCCUUUCCCUUUCGUUAGAACUCUGUUCUUCUCUUCCAUACUACUUCCGGUAAUCCCUUGACCUUCUACCUGCUGAGAACGACUCUUCUAGGAUUGUCUCCUUGUGUAUUAUUAAUUGGCUUUGUUUUUAACCUUUUGUCCUAAGUCUUUAAGUCAAAUGGUUUGUCUAGAUCUUUGUGCUUAGCAUCUAUUGUCUUGCCUAAGGGAGGGAUGUGUCUUCCUUAUUCGUUUAUGGAGAGGUUCUACCUUGUAGGCUUUAUACUUACCGCCUUGCUGACUAGGAGAUGUCUUCUCUUUGUCUGAUGUCGAGGAAGGUUUUGGCCUACCCCGUCAUCAUAUAA
This 923-nucleotide long non-coding RNA is filed under the name Helianthus annuus (common sunflower). RNAcentral describes it as "hypothetical non coding rna". Lineage: Eukaryota; Viridiplantae; Streptophyta; Magnoliopsida; Asterales; Asteraceae. The record is from RNAcentral.